Molecule: ribosomal RNA, 496 nt
Filed under: uncultured eukaryote
Lineage: Eukaryota
Description: bacterial SSU rRNA
Rfam family: Eukaryotic small subunit ribosomal RNA
Source: RNAcentral
AACUUAGUUGUACUGUAUCAAUUACUCUUUCCUACUGGUUACUCGACUCUGUUCUUUAUUGCAUGGAGUAGUGUCGCAAGGCAUCGCUUAGUAUUUUAUUGCUUUUAGAUGUAGUAAUUGGGUAAAACUGGUUAUGAAACCUAAGGGAUCACAGUAAAGUAUUAAGUGGGGUUCCAGUUCAUUUACUUUGAGUAAAUUAGAGUGUUCAAAGCAGCCUGUAUGGGCAUUGAAUAGAUUAGCAUGGGAUAAUAGAAUAGGAUUCUUAUCUAUUUUAUUGGUUUAUAGAUUUAGAAUAAUGAUUAAUAGGGAUAGUUGGGGGCACUUGUAUUCAAUAGUCAGAGGUGAAAUUCUAGGAUUUAUUGAAGACAAAACUUCAGCGAAAGUAUUUGCCAAGGAUGUUUUCAUUAAUCAAGAACGAAAGUUAGGGGAUCGAAGACGAUUAGACACCGUCGUAGUCUUAACUAUAAACUAUGCCGACCAGGGGAUAUGAGAGUUA